GAUGAACGCUAGCUACAGGCUUAACACAUGCAAGUCGAGGGGAAAUGAUAGAGAAAGCUUGCUUUUUCUAGGCGUCGACCGGCGCACGGGUGAGUAACGCGUAUCCAACCUGCCCACCACUUGGGGAUAACCUUGCGAAAGUAAGACUAAUACCCAAUGAUAUCUCAAGAAGACAUCUGAAUGAGAUUAAAGAUUUAUCGGCGAUGGAUGGGGAUGCGUAUGAUUAGCUUGUUGGCGGGGUAACGGCCCACCAAGGCGACGAUCAGUAGGGGGCCUGAGAGGAAGGUCACCCACAUUGGAACUGAGACACGGUCCAAACUCCUACGGGAGGCAGCAGUGAGGAAUAUUGGUCAAUGGGCGAGAGCCUGAACCAGCCAAGUAGCGUGCAGGAUGACGGCCCUAUGGGUUGUAAACUGCUUUUAUAAGGGAAUAAAGUGAGUCUCGUGAGGCUUUUUGCAUGUACCUUAUGAAUAAGGACCGGCUGAUUCCGUGCCAGCCGCCGCAGUAA
This 508-nucleotide ribosomal RNA is filed under the name uncultured bacterium. RNAcentral's name for it is "partial 16S ribosomal RNA". It matches the Rfam family "Bacterial small subunit ribosomal RNA", at positions 28 to 523 of the family's 1533-position model. The record is from RNAcentral.